AUUGAACGCUGGCGGCAUGCCUUACACAUGCAAGUCGAACGGCAGCACGGGAGCAAUCCUGGUGGCGAGUGGAGAACGGGUGAGUAAAGUAUCGGAACGUGCCCAGUCGUGGGGGAUAACGUAGCGAAUGUUACGCUAAUACCGCAUACGAUCUAUGGAUGAAAGCGGGGGAUCGCAAGACCUCGCGCGAUUGGAGCGGCCGAUAGCAGCUGAGGUAGUUGGGAGGGUAAAGGCUCACCAAGCCGACGAUCUGUAGCUGGUCUGAGAGGACGACCAGCCACACUGGAACGGAGACACGGCCCAGACUCCUACGGGAGGAAACAGUGAGGAAUUUGGGACAAUGGGCGAAAGACUGAUCCAGCCAUGCCGCGUGCAGGAUGGAGGCCUUCGGGUUGUAAUCUGCUUUUGUACGGAACGAAAAGGUUUGACUUAAGACGUUGGACUCAUGACGGUACCGUAAGAAUAAGCACCGGCUAACUACGUGCCAGCAGCCGCAGUAA
Molecule: ribosomal RNA, 500 nt
Filed under: uncultured bacterium
Lineage: Bacteria
Description: partial 16S ribosomal RNA
Rfam family: Bacterial small subunit ribosomal RNA
Source: RNAcentral